UACGUAGGGGGCAAGCGUUGUCCGGAAUCAUUGGGCGUAAAGAGCGCGUAGGCGGCCCAGUAAGUCCGCUCUGAAAGUCAGGGGCUCAACCCCUGAAUGCGGGUGGAUACUGCUGGGCUAGAGUCCGGAAGAGGCGAGUGGAAUUCCUGGUGUAGCGGUGAAAUGCGCAGAUAUCAGGAGGAACACCAAUAGCGAAGGCAGCUCGCUGGGACGUUACUGACGCUGAGGCGCGAAAGCGUGGGGAGCAAACAGG
RNAcentral lists this ribosomal RNA (253 nucleotides) under uncultured bacterium. RNAcentral's name for it is "partial 16S ribosomal RNA". It matches the Rfam family "Bacterial small subunit ribosomal RNA", at positions 524 to 776 of the family's 1533-position model. The record is from RNAcentral.